GGCUGAUGGGGUGACGCUGCUGGCGUCAAUGGAAGCGGAGCUCUUGACAGUCCACUUCUGUGUCUAUGCGGGGGACAUUUUCCAGAUGUCAGUAGGAAAGAGGAAUUCUUGCGGAGUUUGCAGCUUAGUAGAUCUUACAUUGUGGGCUUUGCCAAACACGUGAGUUUGCAAACUUCCUCCUUUUAAAACUUUUUUUUCUUCCAAAGGAACGUGAUUUUCUUGUUAAAGGAGCUCUGUGCAAUGCAUUCAAAUCUAUCUGCCCUAAGUAGCCCACACCCCACCUGUUGUAUAAAUAUUUUUUAGACGUUCUCUCCUCUGCUCCUAGUUUUCCCACCUCAUGAGUUUCUCUGUAUUUGUUUUUCCUACUCUGCACCCUUCUUGCUUCAUCUUCCUCCCUAAU
RNAcentral lists this long non-coding RNA (400 nucleotides) under Chrysemys picta bellii (western painted turtle). Its description in RNAcentral is "lncRNA (ENSCPBG00000004250.1)". The record is from RNAcentral. Lineage: Eukaryota; Metazoa; Chordata; Testudines; Emydidae.